CCAAAGACAAUUAAGGAGUCAUUCACAGUGGCAUUAAGAAUCCAAUAGUGACAGCAGCAAAUUUCCAGUUUGGUAAUCCAAAAGACUGUUCUUUCUGUUGUGUCAUCCAGCCUGGACUCCUGCAACCUAGCCUCCUUUGGUUUCUUCCCAUUUGCUGAGCUUGGUCCUCAGACUUCUCCUGUUGAUUCAUGAGUUAUCGAAUAUCCUUCCACCUGGAAAUCUCUUGAAGAGGAAGGAAAAAAUCCUUGAGAAAACGUGGCUGUCAGAGCUGCAAAAUCUUCUUUCAUCUUCUCAUGAAUAGAAGCAGUCACCAACCAGCCUGAGAAAACUCAUCCAGCUAGAAAAAGGAGGUAUCCUACUGGACAAAGAAGAGAAUUUGCUAGAUGUGGAAGCAGUUCAGACGAGGAAGGUCACCCCGGUCUUCCGCAGGCAGAUAUUUCCUGGUAUCCGUAUCCUUCUACCACAUGAAGAGCUCACAGGCUACACGGGACGGACAGAUGUAAAUAAAUAUAGAAAUGUGUUAAGAGCUACAGUGGAGGAGCAUGCAAUGGAUGAUUUCAAUGCUUGUCAAAGUAUCUUAAUGUCCCACUUUUAAAAAAUCCAAUAAUACUUUGGGCAUCAUCUGGGGCUUAGAAAAAGAACGUAAAAAGAAGGUAAAUUUGCUCUUUAUUAAAAUAUUCAGCUCGACAUACACUGUGACCAGGGAAAACAGUGCAGACUUUUUGCAUAUAGAACACCUCUAGUGUUCUUAUAAAGGGCUUCUGUGUGUGUGUCUGUGUGUGUUUCUAUAGUUACCCAUCCCAAAACUACAGGAACAAUUAGGAGGCAUAUUGGUACCUCACACCAUGAUGGAGAUGUUAAAGAAGAAUAUGGAUGACGUGGC
RNAcentral lists this long non-coding RNA (883 nucleotides) under Equus caballus (horse). RNAcentral's name for it is "lncRNA (ENSECAG00000041277.2)". Lineage: Eukaryota; Metazoa; Chordata; Mammalia; Perissodactyla; Equidae. The record is from RNAcentral.